Molecule: ribosomal RNA, 492 nt
Filed under: uncultured bacterium
Lineage: Bacteria
Description: partial 16S ribosomal RNA
Rfam family: Bacterial small subunit ribosomal RNA
Source: RNAcentral
AGUGAACGCUGGCGGCAUGCCUAACACAUGCAAGUCGAACGGCAGCACAGUAAUAGCUUGCUCUUACGGUUGGCGAGUGGCGGGCGGGUCAGGAAUACAUCGGAAUCUACUUUUUCGUGGGGGUUAACGAAGGGAAACUUACGCUAAUACCGCAUACGACCUACGGGUGAAAGCAGGGGAUCUUCGGACCUUGCGCGAUUGAAUGAGCCGAUGUCGGAUUAGCUAGGUGGCGGGGUAAAGGCCCACCAAGGCGACGAUCCGUAGCUGGUCUGAGAGGGGGAUCCGCCCCACUGGAACUGGAACACGGUCCUGAGUCCUACGGGAGGCACCGGUGGGGAAUGUUGGACGCUGGGCGGAAGACUGAUCCAGGCGUACCGCGUGGGUGCAGAGAGCCUUCGGGUUGGAUAGCCGUUUUGUUGGGAAAGAAAAGCAGCGGGUUAAUCCACGCCUGUUGUGACGGUACCCAGAGAAUAAGCACCGGCUAACUUCGUG